ACCCUUUUUCUUUACAUUUCUGUUCUCAUUUCUCUGACUCGUGUCGGUUCAGCGAUCUAAUUAUUCUCAACUCCGGCGACUAUGGCGGAGCAACACCGCAAGACGGUGCUUGAUUCAGGGUGGCUGGCAGCCAGGUCCACCGAAGUCCAAUUCACUGGAAUCCAACUCACCACUACUCACCCGCCUACUUCCCCCACUUCACCAUGGAUGCAAGCUCUCGUCCCUGGAACGUAAUCUCUCUCUCUCUCUCUCUUGAUUGUGACAAACAUAGCAUUAUUAGCUUUUAAUUACUAUCCAUUCAUGCAUUUCCUUUCAUUCUUGUCUUUGUGGUAGUUUACUAUCUAUUGAAUUGACAAUGUUAUGGGGACCUUAGCGAAGAACAAAGUGGUGCCUGAUCCCUUUUAUGGACUUCAAAAUGAAGACAUUGUAGAUAUUGCUGAUUCUAGAAGAGAUUAUUAUACCUUCUAGUUUUUUACCACCUUUAACUGUAAGCUGUCUAUCAAUCAACACUGUGAUCUGAACUUUCGUGGAAUCAAUUACUAUGCUAAUGUGUAUUUGAAUGGGCACAAAAUCACAUUGCCAAAAGGAAUGUUUCGAAGGCAUGUAGUUGAUGUCACCGAUAUUCUUCACCCUGAUGGCAGUAAUCUUCUAUCUGUUCUUGUUCACCCUCCCGAUCAUCCUGGGAGAAUUCCUCCUGAAGGGGGACAGGGUGGUGAUCAUGAGAUAGGCAAGGAUGUUGCCACACAAUAUGUGGAAGGCUGGGAUUGGAUAGCUCCAAUAAGCCAGUAAAAAUAAUUGAUCCGCACUUGGUGUCAUCAUUUUUUAACAAUUAUGAAAGAGCUUAUCUACACACAACUAUUGAGUUGGAAAAUAAGAGUUCCUGGACUGCUGAGUGUUCUUUGAGUAUCCAAGUGAUCAUGGAACUUGAGGAUAACAUUUGCCUAGUGAAGCAUGUGGAAACUCAAUAUCUCUCAGUUCCAGCAAAUUCAAGGGUGUAGUAUAACAUUUCCUGAGGUGCCAUGGACAUAUUUCGGCUCUUACCAGCAGAUCUGCUCCAAAAACCAACAUUCAUUUGUUUCCAGUUGUCCUUUAUCUUCGUAGCAGUUCAAUAUUUAAACACAAAGUGGUUACAAUUCACGUCCUACGGCAGCUGGCCAGUCUAAUUAAACUCAUUGAGACACUGUUUCAGCUUGACAAUAUUUAAUGAGGACAACCAUACUGGUUUCGAGAUCACAAAAGUUCAGAAGAUUAUGCUGUAUGGUUCAACGAUUCUAGCAAAGGGAUAGGCCAGUAAAUGGACUUAAUGGAAGGAGCAAAUCAGAUAUCACCUCAAAAACCAGAGCAUCCCCUGGAAGCAGAAUGGUAGCUACUAAAAGCAAAUAUGCAAAGGAAAAAGAAAGUAGAAAGCGAAUGGAGGAAAGAAUUGCGGAAAGAAGUGCUUCUAAGAAGACUACUUCAAUAGACACCAAUAUUACUUCCAAGAACAAGCCUAAGAUUCAUCCAUCCAAUAAAAAGACUAGGAAAUCACAAAACUGGUCCUCGAAACUCCACAAUUGAGUAGUAAGUCAGAAAGUUUCAAAAGCAGUUCCUACCAAGAAACCAUCCUUGAAGGCAAAUGCAGUUCCUUUGGAAAAGAAGAAACAAGGUGUGUGAAAGAGGUGAAAUCUUCAAAGGUGAAAAACAUUGACUAAGCUAUCAAUUCCUUGAAGAGUGGCCAAAGAUUUAUAGUUUUGGAUUCUUUAGUAUAUUCAUGAUUCAUGAUUUUUCUUUUUCAUUUACUUUUAAAUUUUUAGAUCAAUUGCUAAAAACGAAAGUUAGUAGGCUACUUUUAAAGGUACAAUUUUAGAUCAUUGCUAA
This is a non-coding RNA of Arachis ipaensis, 1857 nucleotides long. The record is from RefSeq and is a predicted model, not a curated record. Lineage: Eukaryota; Viridiplantae; Streptophyta; Magnoliopsida; Fabales; Fabaceae.